GACUGAGAGCUCUUUCUUGAU
RNAcentral lists this non-coding RNA (21 nucleotides) under Arabidopsis thaliana (thale cress). The record is from RNAcentral. Lineage: Eukaryota; Viridiplantae; Streptophyta; Magnoliopsida; Brassicales; Brassicaceae.